This 544-nucleotide ribosomal RNA is filed under the name uncultured Fusarium. RNAcentral's name for it is "SSU rRNA". It matches the Rfam family "Eukaryotic small subunit ribosomal RNA", at positions 548 to 1098 of the family's 1831-position model. Lineage: Eukaryota; Fungi; Ascomycota; Sordariomycetes; Hypocreales; Nectriaceae. The record is from RNAcentral.
UUGGAGGGCAAGUCUGGUGCCAGCAGCCGCGGUAAUUCCAGCUCCAAUAGCGUAUAUUAAAGUUGUUGUGGUUAAAAAGCUCGUAGUUGAGUCUUGGGCCUGGCUGGCCGGUCCGCCUCACCGCGUGUACUGGUCCGGCCGGGCCUUUCCCUCUGUGGAACCCCAUGCCCUUCACUGGGUGUGGCGGGGAAACAGGACUUUCACUGUGAAAAAAUUAGAGUGCUCCAGGCAGGCCUAUGCUCGAAUACAUUAGCAUGGAAUAAUAGAAUAGGACGUGUGGUUCUAUUUUGUUGGUUUCUAGGACCGCCGUAAUGAUUAAUAGGGACAGUCGGGGGCAUCAGUAUUCAAUUGUCAGAGGUGAAAUUCUUGGAUUUAUUGAAGACUAACUACUGCGAAAGCAUUUGCCAAGGAUGUUUUCAUUAAUCAGGAACGAAAGUUAGGGGAUCGAAGACGAUCAGAUACCGUCGUAGUCUUAACCAUAAGCUAUGCCGACUAGGGAUCGGACGGUGUUAUUUUUUGACCCGUUCGGCGCCUUACGGGAAAC